Oreochromis aureus is the source of this 244-nucleotide long non-coding RNA. RefSeq lists it as uncharacterized. The transcript has 3 exons. NCBI's taxonomy places the organism in Eukaryota, Metazoa, Chordata, Actinopteri, Cichliformes, Cichlidae. The record is from RefSeq and is a predicted model, not a curated record.
GGGAGUCCCUCCCUCUAAAAGCACUCUGUGUGGGGAACAUGAGAGCCAGACCAAAGCUCAGAGGAAGAAACGAGGAACUAAACGUAAACAUGAACCUGAACCCAGCUGUGUGUCCUUAAAGAGUGGCCGGUCCAAACAUCCCCCCAUUAGUUUUAAAGCCCACCAGGCAUCUGCUGCAGAGAGAGUGGACCAGGAGAGCUCAGAGGUUCCCAGUGGUCAGUCUGCCCAGCAGCAUCAAACACAG